Molecule: unclassified non-coding RNA, 218 nt
Filed under: soil metagenome
Description: partial contains 5.8S ribosomal RNA, internal transcribed spacer 2, and large subunit ribosomal RNA
Source: RNAcentral
AACCUUAUGGACCUGCGGGCGUAUACCUGCGGAGGGAUCAUUACAAGUGACCCCGGUCUAACCACCGGGAUGUUCAUAACCCUUUGUUGUCCGACUCUGUUGCCUCCGGGGCGACCCUGCCUUCGGGCGGGGGCUCCGGGUGGACACUUCAAACUCUUGCGUAACUUUGCAGUCUGAGUAAACUUAAUUAAUAAAUUAAAACUUUCAACAAUGGAUCU